CUCAUUAUAUUAUAGAUCCCUGUAUGAGGUACUACAACACUGACGGUGUUAACCUCUAACCUCUCCUCCCUCAUUAUAUUAUAGAUCCCUGUAUGAGGUACUACAACACUGACGGUGUUAACCUCUAACCUCUCCUCCCUCAUUAUAUUAUAGAUCCCUGUAUGAGGAACUACAACAACACUGACGGUGUUAACCUCUAACCUCUCCUCCCUCAUUAUAUUAUAGAUCCCUGUAUGAGGUACUACAACACUGACAGUGUUAACCUCUAACCUCUCCUCCCUCAUUAUAUUACAGAUCCCUGUAUGAGGUACUACAACACUGACAGUGUUAACCUCUAACCUCUCCUCCCUCAUUAUAUUACAGAUCCCUGUAUGAGGUACUACAACACUGACGGUGUUAACCUCUAACCUCUCCUCCCUCAUUAUAUUAUAGAUCCCUGUAUGAGGAACUACAACACUGACGGUGUUAACCUCUAACCUCUCCUCCCUC
Molecule: long non-coding RNA, 489 nt
Organism: Oncorhynchus keta (chum salmon)
Lineage: Eukaryota; Metazoa; Chordata; Actinopteri; Salmoniformes; Salmonidae
Exons: 3
Source: RefSeq, a predicted model, not a curated record